GUCCCCAUCGUCUAGAGGUCCAGGACACUGCCCUUUCACGGCAGUAACAGGGGUUCAAAUCCCCUUGGGGACACCA
RNAcentral lists this transfer RNA (76 nucleotides) under Candidatus Erwinia haradaeae. Its description in RNAcentral is "transfer RNA Glutamic acid". It matches the Rfam family "tRNA". Rfam says of the family: Transfer RNA (tRNA) molecules are approximately 80 nucleotides in length. Lineage: Bacteria; Pseudomonadati; Pseudomonadota; Gammaproteobacteria; Enterobacterales; Erwiniaceae. The record is from RNAcentral.